This 406-nucleotide ribosomal RNA is filed under the name uncultured bacterium. Its description in RNAcentral is "partial 16S ribosomal RNA". It matches the Rfam family "Bacterial small subunit ribosomal RNA", at positions 30 to 526 of the family's 1533-position model. The record is from RNAcentral.
AUUGAACGCUGGCGGCAGGCCUAACACAUGCAAGUCGAACGAGUGGCGGAAGGGUGAGUCAUGUAUGGGAAACUGCCCGAUGGAGGGGGAUAACUACUGGAAACGGUAGCUAAUACCGCAUACCAUCGGAUGUGCCCAUAUGGGAUUAGCUAGUAGGUGGGGUAAAGGCUCAACUAGGCGACGAUCCCUAGCUGGUCUGAGAGGAUGAACAGCCACACUGGAACUGAGACACGGUCCAGACGCCUACGGGAGGCAGCAGUGGGGAAUAUUGCACAAUGGGCGCAAGCCUGAUGCAGCCAUGCCGCGUGUAUGAAGAAGGCCUUCGGGUUGUAAAGUACUUUCAGCGGGGAGGCGUUACUCGCAGAAGAAGCACCGGCUAACUCCGUGCCAGCAGCCGCGGUAAUAC